This 458-nucleotide long non-coding RNA is filed under the name Oryza brachyantha (malo sina). RNAcentral describes it as "long non-coding RNA (OBRA_LNC003308)". Lineage: Eukaryota; Viridiplantae; Streptophyta; Magnoliopsida; Poales; Poaceae. The record is from RNAcentral.
GCACCAACAUUGUUUCUUCCUGCCUGAUGUUCAGAGUCCAGAGAGAUGAACAAGAGGAAAUCAUGGAGUUCAGCAGCCCAGCUCAGGGGAUGGCUUGCCUACAGCAUAUUGUAGGGCCUGGGAGGCAUCAGGAGAUGGGAGAUAAACCUGUGGUAAUUAAGCUGCUGCCUUGCCAUUCCAUCUGCAUCUCAUCAGCUGCUGAUUUGAUGCUAGGAACCACCUAAUUUGUGCUGUUUUUCAGGCUUUGGGACUUCAUUGUUCAUGUUUGGGAUAUAUACUUCAUUGUUCAUGUUUGGGAUGUAUAUAUAUGCGACUCCUGUUCAUUUGAUGAUUGCAAAAACCUGCUUUCUGCAUAUGGCAGGUUUCUUCAGGGUAGGGAAAGGAACACUUCAUGAGGUGAUUUGAUCAGCUAAGCGUUGAAGACUCGUGAUACAGCUUCUUCCGUCGCUUUUGUCGGC